Molecule: ribosomal RNA, 385 nt
Filed under: Yersinia enterocolitica subsp. palearctica YE-150
Lineage: Bacteria; Pseudomonadati; Pseudomonadota; Gammaproteobacteria; Enterobacterales; Yersiniaceae
Description: bacterial SSU rRNA
Rfam family: Bacterial small subunit ribosomal RNA
Source: RNAcentral
AAAUUGAAGAGUUUGAUCAUGGCUCAGAUUGAACGCUGGCGGCAGGCCUAACACAUGCAAGUCGAGCGGCAGCGGGAAGUAGUUUACUACUUUGCCGGCGAGCGGCGGACGGGUGAGUAAUGUCUGGGAAACUGCCUGAUGGAGGGGGAUAACUACUGGAAACGGUAGCUAAUACCGCAUAACGUCUUCGGACCAAAGUGGGGGACCUUCGGGCCUCACGCCAUCGGAUGUGCCCAGAUGGGAUUAGCUAGUAGGUGGGGUAAUGGCUCACCUAGGCGACGAUCCCUAGCUGGUCUGAGAGGAUGACCAGCCACACUGGAACUGAGACACGGUCCAGACUCCUACGGGAGGCAGCAGUGGGGAAUAUUGCACAAUGGGCGCAAGC